GGACGAUUAGCUCAGUUGGCUAGAGCGUCACAUUGACAUUGUGAAGGUCACAGGUUCGAGUCCUGUAUCGUCCACCG
This 77-nucleotide transfer RNA is filed under the name Candidatus Shapirobacteria bacterium CG_4_10_14_0_8_um_filter_39_15. RNAcentral's name for it is "tRNA-Val". It matches the Rfam family "tRNA". Rfam says of the family: Transfer RNA (tRNA) molecules are approximately 80 nucleotides in length. Their secondary structure includes four short double-helical elements and three loops (D, anti-codon, and T loops). Further hydrogen bonds mediate the characteristic L-shaped molecular structure. tRNAs have two regions of fundamental functional importance: the anti-codon, which is responsible for specific mRNA codon recognition, and the 3' end, to which the tRNAs corresponding amino acid is attached (by aminoacyl-tRNA synthetases). tRNAs cope with the degeneracy of the genetic code in two manners: having more than one tRNA (with a specific anti-codon) for a particular amino acid; and 'wobble' base-pairing, i.e. permitting non-standard base-pairing at the 3rd anti-codon position. Lineage: Bacteria; Candidatus Shapironibacteriota. RNAcentral also lists the same sequence under 2 other names. The record is from RNAcentral.